UUUCCGUAGGUGAACCUGCGGAAGGAUCAUUCAUAAUAAAGUGUUUUAUGGCACUUUUUAAAAAUCCAUAUCCACCUUGUGUGCAAUGUUAUAUCUCGUCAAUCUUGGCGAGAUUUUCAUACAUCAACUCAUUUUUUAACUAAUUUGUCUGAAAAAUAUUAUGAAUACUUAAUUCAAAAUACAACUUUCAACAACGGAUCUCUUGGCUCUC
RNAcentral lists this unclassified non-coding RNA (211 nucleotides) under plant metagenome. RNAcentral's name for it is "partial contains small subunit ribosomal RNA, internal transcribed spacer 1, and 5.8S ribosomal RNA". The record is from RNAcentral.